This 1364-nucleotide ribosomal RNA is filed under the name Paenibacillus sp. JJ-223. RNAcentral's name for it is "23S ribosomal RNA (partial)". It matches the Rfam family "Bacterial large subunit ribosomal RNA", at positions 1556 to 2925 of the family's 2925-position model. The record is from RNAcentral. Lineage: Bacteria; Bacillati; Bacillota; Bacilli; Caryophanales; Paenibacillaceae.
CUGAGCUGUGAUGGGGAGUGAAAAUUACAGUAGCGAAGGUCAUGAUCUCACACUGCCAAGAAAAGCCUCUAGCCAGAUGAAGGUGCCCGUACCGCAAACCGACACAGGUAGGCGAGAAGAGAAUUCUAAGGCGCGCGGAAGAACUCUCGUUAAGGAACUCGGCAAAAUGACCCCGUAACUUCGGGAGAAGGGGUGCCCCGGUAGUGUGAAUAGCACGAGGGGGCCGCAGUGAAAAGGCCCAAGCGACUGUUUAGCAAAAACACAGGUCUGUGCGAAGCCGUAAGGCGAAGUAUACGGGCUGACGCCUGCCCGGUGCUGGAAGGUUAAGGGGAGCGGUUAGGGAGUAAUCCCGAAGCUGUGAACCGAAGCCCCAGUAAACGGCGGCCGUAACUAUAACGGUCCUAAGGUAGCGAAAUUCCUUGUCAGGUAAAUUCUGACCCGCACGAAUGGCGUAACGACUUGGGCGCUGUCUCAACGAGAGAUCCGGUGAAAUUUUAAUACCUGUGAAGAUGCAGGUUACCCGCGACAAGACGGAAAGACCCCAUGGAGCUUUACUGCAGCUUGAUAUUGAAUUUGGGUACGAUCUGUACAGGAUAGGUGGGAGCCUGAGAAGCAUGAGCGCCAGCUUGUGUGGAGGCACCGUUGGGAUACCACCCUGAUCGUAUCUAGGUUCUAACCUGGUGCCCUGAUCGGGUACGGGGACAGUGUCAGGUGGGCAGUUUGACUGGGGCGGUCGCCUCCUAAAGAGUAACGGAGGCGCCCAAAGGUUCCCUCAGAAUGGUUGGAAAUCAUUCGAAGAGUGCAAAGGCAUAAGGGAGCUUGACUGCGAGACCUACAAGUCGAGCAGGGACGAAAGUCGGGCUUAGUGAUCCGGUGGUACCGCAUGGAAGGGCCAUCGCUCAACGGAUAAAAGCUACCCUGGGGAUAACAGGCUUAUCUCCCCCAAGAGUCCACAUCGACGGGGAGGUUUGGCACCUCGAUGUCGGCUCAUCGCAUCCUGGGGCUGAAGUAGGUCCCAAGGGUUGGGCUGUUCGCCCAUUAAAGCGGUACGCGAGCUGGGUUCAGAACGUCGUGAGACAGUUCGGUCCCUAUCUGUCGUGGGCGUAGGAAAUUUGAGAGGAGCUGUCCUUAGUACGAGAGGACCGGGAUGGACGUACCGCUGGUGUACCAGUUGUUCCGCCAGGAGCACCGCUGGGUAGCUAUGUACGGACGGGAUAAGCGCUGAAAGCAUCUAAGCGUGAAGCCCCCCUCAAGAUGAGAUUUCCCAAUUAGUAAGACCCCUUGAAGACGACGAGGUAGAUAGGCUGGGGGUGGAAGUGCAGCAAUGCAUGGAGCUGACCAGUACUAAUCGGUCGAGGGCUUAU